UGGGUAUUGUGAUAUAAUGAGCUUGACAUGUUUAUUUGCAUAGAAAGAGUGAUGAAAUUUAUUUGCAAUUUUGCAUUGCCUAAUUAAGUGAAGUUAUAAUACUAAUAAUAUUUAUUUCUUCCAUUGUAGGCUAUGGCGCCUUACUUCAAAAAGGCUCUCGCCUCUCACCUAAAUAUGGUACCCUGUCAUCUUAGUGUAGUCUCUCGCCUUAAUAACACUGGUUAGAGCAGUCCGUAACCCUGAAGUACAAUUCAUUUAAAUUCACAGAAACAUNNNNUUGUAAGCCUUAUCAUAAGUCAACACUAACUGGAUUAAAAUCCCAAUUUAAGUAAUUAUUUAAUUUAAAACACCAGAACCUCAAUCUAGCAGAGAUCAGAA
RNAcentral lists this unclassified non-coding RNA (378 nucleotides) under Hevea brasiliensis (rubber tree). The record is from RNAcentral. Lineage: Eukaryota; Viridiplantae; Streptophyta; Magnoliopsida; Malpighiales; Euphorbiaceae.